UCAAGUGGUGCACCCUUCAUUCAGAAAUCUCUCAAUUGUAAUAUGCUAAGCAGGGCUGAGCUUAGUCAGUACCUGGAUGGGAGACCACAUGAGAAGACUAGGUUGCUGUUGGAA
RNAcentral lists this ribosomal RNA (114 nucleotides) under Danio rerio (zebrafish). Lineage: Eukaryota; Metazoa; Chordata; Actinopteri; Cypriniformes; Danionidae. The record is from RNAcentral.